UCCCUGGUGGCUCAAAUGGUAAAGAAUCUGCCUGCAAUGCAGAACACCUGGAUUCGAUCUCUAGGUAGGGAA
Molecule: transfer RNA, 72 nt
Filed under: Ovis aries (sheep)
Lineage: Eukaryota; Metazoa; Chordata; Mammalia; Artiodactyla; Bovidae
Rfam family: tRNA
About the family: Transfer RNA (tRNA) molecules are approximately 80 nucleotides in length. Their secondary structure includes four short double-helical elements and three loops (D, anti-codon, and T loops). Further hydrogen bonds mediate the characteristic L-shaped molecular structure. tRNAs have two regions of fundamental functional importance: the anti-codon, which is responsible for specific mRNA codon recognition, and the 3' end, to which the tRNAs corresponding amino acid is attached (by aminoacyl-tRNA synthetases). tRNAs cope with the degeneracy of the genetic code in two manners: having more than one tRNA (with a specific anti-codon) for a particular amino acid; and 'wobble' base-pairing, i.e. permitting non-standard base-pairing at the 3rd anti-codon position.
Source: Rfam by way of RNAcentral